Molecule: long non-coding RNA, 555 nt
Organism: Wasmannia auropunctata (little fire ant)
Lineage: Eukaryota; Metazoa; Arthropoda; Insecta; Hymenoptera; Formicidae
Exons: 3
Source: RefSeq, a predicted model, not a curated record
CUAAAAAGGAAUGUCUUUUUGCAUGUGGAAUUCCAUGUUGUCGGAAUACGUUCGAUUUCUUACGGGAGGCGUAGUAAUAAAUGAUUACUCCUUUCGUUCGAGAUAAAGUUAAACACCAGUGUCGUGAAAGUUUGUGUCAAUAUCACUGUUCGCAGUUGUGUGAGGUAUCCUCAGGUUAUAAUCCAGUGCAAUAUGUUGAACGUAAUUGUUUUAUCAUGUCAAACUGACCUGCUCGCUUGGAAUUCUCGCACACGACUGCCUAUAUCCGAUAUAAAGUUGUUUGUUAAAUGACUCAUAACUUGACGUUAUUGAAGAGAAUUACGUGAGAGGGAUCAGAGAGCAAGAGAGAGAGAGAGAGAGAGAGAGAGAGAGAGAGAAACAGAGAAAAAGAAAGAGAAAAAUAAUACUUUGAUCAUUUAUAGAGAUCUGUUGUGUGUAAAUAAAAAAGUGCAUUAUGUAUAGCGAGAAAAAAAAUGAAUGCCUGCGAUGUCAUAUCCAAAAUGGUCAGUUCUCUCCCGGGUUCUCUUUUACUUUUGGUAUCCAUUAACAGUUGAU